Molecule: ribosomal RNA, 425 nt
Filed under: uncultured bacterium
Lineage: Bacteria
Description: bacterial SSU rRNA
Rfam family: Bacterial small subunit ribosomal RNA
Source: RNAcentral
GGGGAAUAUUGGACAAUGGGGGCAACCCUGAUCCAGCAAUGCCGCGUGUGUGAAGAAGGCCUUAGGGUUGUAAAGCACUUUAGGCUGGGAGGAAGACGUGUAGUUUAAGAGAUAAUACGUUUGACUGUACCGGCAGAAUAAGCACCGGCUAACUCUGUGCCAGCAGCCGCGGUAAUACAGAGGGUGCGAGCGUUAAUCGGAGUUACUGGGCGUAAAGGGCGCGUAGGCGGUUGAUUAAGUGAGAUGUGAAAUCCCUGGGCUUAACCUAGGAACUGCAUCUCAUACUGGUCAGCUAGAGUAUUGUAGAGGGUAGUGGAAUUUCCGGUGUAGCGGUGAAAUGCGUAGAGAUCGGAAGGAACACCAGUGGCGAAGGCGGCUACCUGGACAAAUACUGACGCUGAGGCGCGAAAGCGUGGGGAGCAAAC